AGGACGGUGGUCAUGGAAG
RNAcentral lists this small nuclear RNA (19 nucleotides) under Arabidopsis thaliana (thale cress). RNAcentral describes it as "snRNA_14694". Lineage: Eukaryota; Viridiplantae; Streptophyta; Magnoliopsida; Brassicales; Brassicaceae. The record is from RNAcentral.